RNAcentral lists this long non-coding RNA (709 nucleotides) under Equus caballus (horse). RNAcentral's name for it is "lncRNA (ENSECAG00000052554.1)". The record is from RNAcentral. Lineage: Eukaryota; Metazoa; Chordata; Mammalia; Perissodactyla; Equidae.
GUGGAGCUGCCAGGCCUGUGGGGUGGGGUCGUCCCCUCCCUCUUGGGCUCCAGGGCUCCCAGGAAAAGGCUUAGAAUGUUCUUCUCCCCAUCAGCAUGGGAGGAGCCGGCCUGGGGCCCGCGUGUUUCCCAGCCGCGUCCCCGCCGCUGAAGAGCAGGCUGCACUCGAGCUGUUGGAAGGACCGGGAUCUGCCACUGUUGCUGGGUUCUGCGUCAGGGGUCUGGUGACUGAAGAGAAGACACUGAUGAUUGGGGGGGUCACACCAGUAUCCCAGCCCAACACCUCAGCCCCACUGCAUUCUGCUCCAAACCUUGUCCUGAGUGUUCAGUCAACACUACCCCAUUGUCCCUGACAUGGGAGCUGGCAUUUCGCUUCACCCAUUUCACAGAAGAGGAAGCUGAGUCCCACAAAGGUCAAGGGAAUUGUCCCUCACAGGCCUGGUCAGCAGUGGAGCUGGGAUCCCCGUGCCGGCUGUCCAUCUCCCUAGGCCCGUGCUUAGCCCGAAGCUUUCCGGAGCCCCUGGCUUCACGGGGUGGAGACGGUGAUGAGAUCCCGCUCUCAGGAGCCGUCAAAGACCUCUCCUCCACUCCUCACCCCAGCCUCCUGCCCAGCCCAAGCUACCCACCUAGGCGGCCUCCCCCCAAUUUCCUCCUCUUCUCUCCUCCAGGAACCCCAAACUCCUCCAGGCACCUCCCAGCAGCCGGCUCUG